GACGAACGCUGGCGGCGUGCUUAACACAUGCAAGUCGAGCGGUAAGGCCCUUUCGGGGGUACACGAGCGGCGAACGGGUGAGUAACACGUGGGUGACCUGCCCUCAGCUCUGGGAUAAGCCUGGGAAACUGGGCCUAAUACUGGAUAUGACUCCACGGUGCAUGUCGUGGGGUGGAAAGCCUUGUGCGGCUGAGGAUGGGGCCCGCGGCCUAUCAGCUUGUUGGUGGGGGAUGGCCUACCAAGGCGACGACGGGUAGCCGGCCUGAGAGGGCGACCGGCCACACUGGGACUGAGACACGGCCCAGACUCCUACGGGAGGCAGCAGUGGGGAAUCUUGCGCAAUGGGCGAAAGCCUGACGCAGCGACGCCGCGUGAGGGAUGACGGCCUGGUUGUAAC
This 397-nucleotide ribosomal RNA is filed under the name uncultured bacterium. RNAcentral's name for it is "bacterial SSU rRNA". It matches the Rfam family "Bacterial small subunit ribosomal RNA", at positions 28 to 429 of the family's 1533-position model. The record is from RNAcentral.